This 73-nucleotide transfer RNA is filed under the name Camelus bactrianus (Bactrian camel). It matches the Rfam family "tRNA". Rfam says of the family: Transfer RNA (tRNA) molecules are approximately 80 nucleotides in length. Their secondary structure includes four short double-helical elements and three loops (D, anti-codon, and T loops). Lineage: Eukaryota; Metazoa; Chordata; Mammalia; Artiodactyla; Camelidae. The record is from Rfam by way of RNAcentral. RNAcentral also lists the same sequence under 2 other names.
GAGAGUACAGCUCAAGUGGCAGAGCACAUGCUUAGCAUGCGGGAGGUCCUGGGUUCAAUCCCCAGUACCUUCA